RNAcentral lists this long non-coding RNA (912 nucleotides) under Nicotiana tabacum (common tobacco). Its description in RNAcentral is "long non-coding RNA (NTAB_LNC004539)". Lineage: Eukaryota; Viridiplantae; Streptophyta; Magnoliopsida; Solanales; Solanaceae. The record is from RNAcentral.
UUAGAAGAGGUGGUGGUGUUUUCCUCCUUCAGCUUCCUUUUGCUCUUUCUUGGCAUCCUUCUUAUCAUGGUGUUCAUGGAAUGCAAAUCCACCUGCCCCAACUGCAGCAGCAGCUGCUAUCUCUUCCUCUAUCUUGUGUUUGUGUGCAUGCUCUGGAUCUUUCUUUGCCUUGUGCUUCUCAUGCUAAAAUAUUUUAUCAAAAUAAAAGAAGAGUAAGAAAAUUGAAGAAAUAAACUCAAUCAAGAUAAUUGAAGAGGAGCCCUGGAGCACCGGGUAAGGUUGUCUCCCUGUGAUCUAUAGGUCACGGGUUCAAGCCGUAUAAGCAGUCAUUAAUAUUUGCAUUAGUGGUGGACUAUCUACAUCACGCCUUUUGGGGUUCAGCCGUUUCUUGAACCCUGCGCAAAUGCGAGAUGCUUUGUAUACAAGGAAACCCUGCACAAAUACGUGAUGCUUUGUGUACAAGGGACAAAUAUACUUCUUUUAAGGAGCAUAUAUAGCGCAAUUCCAUAUAAGGUAUUGUAACAUUUUUGCUAAUAUCCACGUCUAGCGAACAAAAGUGAAAAACAAAAAGAAAUUCUCUUACUCCUUGUAAAACUAAUUAAAGUGAAAAUUCAUAACCUAGCUAUUCAAUACCUAUGUGAACCUAUCUCAACUAGGAAAUUUAUGUUAGUUUAUAAAUUAAAUAAAAAGAUAUACGUACCAGGGCAAAAGCACCAGCAGCAGCAGCACCAAGUUCACCAACUUUCUCGAGAUGACUGUGGUGCUUGACUUCUUUUUCAUAAUCGACAGGACCCUCUUCCUCCUCCUUGUUCUUAUGGUGGAACAGAUGAUGGUGCUUCUCUUCGGCCAUGGCGCUAGUGGUUUUGAAGACUGUCAAAAUGUGACUAUGACUUUACGAAAAAUGGCAAUUCG